Passer domesticus (house sparrow) is the source of this 1047-nucleotide long non-coding RNA. RefSeq lists it as uncharacterized. The transcript is spliced from 3 exons. NCBI's taxonomy places the organism in Eukaryota, Metazoa, Chordata, Aves, Passeriformes, Passeridae. The record is from RefSeq and is a predicted model, not a curated record.
CCAAGCAGCACACCAUUGUGCAGCUCAUUGGAUCUCCUGGGAAAGUGGCACUAAGGCAGCUUUGCUUCUCUCUGCAGUUUUGCUCACCCAGCUGCAGUAACUGGCAUGCAGUGGAAGAAGGCUGAGCUCCUUACUCUUCCAUGACACAUGUAGCAGUGGAACAAAACCCUGGGAGUGUGACCCAGAGGAUGAAAAAGAAUGUAGCUGUGCAACCCAGCGUGUGAGCGAGUUUAUCAAAUACAAGGCAGCAGCCAGAACAACAGGAAAUCGCAUAAGAAAGCCCAACUCCUGGUUGGCAGAAGCACAUUGACCUCUCCUUCAUGUCACUGGGUUUAAUACUCCAACUUCACUGUAAAAGCUUCUUCCCUGAGCCUGGGUUCAUAAACGUGUUAGUGGUCCUUGAUGUUCCCAGCAGAGGACAGUAAGAAAAACACAGCCCUGAAUAGCUCACAUUGAUUGCAGCAAAUACAGAGCAGGAGGGUCAGAACCAUUUCCCAGCCCAGAGCCAGUGCUGUAGAACUGAGCAGCUAUUCAUAGCCACUGGAUCCUCUCCAAGCCGUUAAUUUCCACAUGGAGCUGGAGAAAUUCUAUCCCCGGUUUGUGAAGUAUGGGUCAGCCGAAGCAUGUUAAUCUGUUUAGCAUGUGUGCUUCGUGGAGGUGCCAGACCACCGCCGUGCAGGAGCAGAAGCAGCAGCAACCAUAGUCCUUAGGGGUAGUUAAUAAAGACUUAAAGGGAAACAAGUUUAUAAAGGUUUCAGUUCGUGCACCGUGCCAGCUUUGGACAUUACAGGCUUCCAGCUCUGAGGAUCAGAAAGCUGAGAAAUCCCGCGGCUAUUUGUCGCAGCCCUAGAAGGCAGAGCGCCGGUGACGCAGCCGGGGGAAGGGGGCAAAGUGCCGUGGUGUUCCUUCGCCCCGUGAAAAGGGGGCACCAGCUGAGUCUCCCCAACCCUCUAGGGGCACCCCGAGCUCCCGUGGCCCGCAUACACAUGAAUCUUCACUGCUUUGGGUAGAUAGAGAUGGUUUUGGAACCUCUGUUUUAACCUGCGC